Molecule: ribosomal RNA, 99 nt
Filed under: uncultured bacterium
Lineage: Bacteria
Description: partial 16S ribosomal RNA
Rfam family: Bacterial small subunit ribosomal RNA
Source: RNAcentral
UACGUUCCCGGGCCUUGUACACACCGCCCGUCACACCAUGGGAGUUGAUUGCUCCAGAAAUGCCCAAAAGGCCUUAAGGAGUGCUCAAUGACUGGGGUG